This 634-nucleotide ribosomal RNA is filed under the name Curtobacterium sp. Ri2Pt_4006. Its description in RNAcentral is "bacterial SSU rRNA". It matches the Rfam family "Bacterial small subunit ribosomal RNA", at positions 382 to 1027 of the family's 1533-position model. Lineage: Bacteria; Bacillati; Actinomycetota; Actinomycetes; Micrococcales; Microbacteriaceae. The record is from RNAcentral.
CCUGAUGCAGCAACGCCGCGUGAGGGAUGACGGCCUUCGGGUUGUAAACCUCUUUUAGUAGGGAAGAAGCGAAAGUGACGGUACCUGCAGAAAAAGCACCGGCUAACUACGUGCCAGCAGCCGCGGUAAUACGUAGGGUGCAAGCGUUGUCCGGAAUUAUUGGGCGUAAAGAGCUCGUAGGCGGUUUGUCGCGUCUGCUGUGAAAUCCCGAGGCUCAACCUCGGGCUUGCAGUGGGUACGGGCAGACUAGAGUGCGGUAGGGGAGAUUGGAAUUCCUGGUGUAGCGGUGGAAUGCGCAGAUAUCAGGAGGAACACCGAUGGCGAAGGCAGAUCUCUGGGCCGUAACUGACGCUGAGGAGCGAAAGCAUGGGGAGCGAACAGGAUUAGAUACCCUGGUAGUCCAUGCCGUAAACGUUGGGCGCUAGAUGUAGGGACCUUUCCACGGUUUCUGUGUCGUAGCUAACGCAUUAAGCGCCCCGCCUGGGGAGUACGGCCGCAAGGCUAAAACUCAAAGGAAUUGACGGGGGCCCGCACAAGCGGCGGAGCAUGCGGAUUAAUUCGAUGCAACGCGAAGAACCUUACCAAGGCUUGACAUACACCGGACACGGCCAGAGAUGGUCGCCCCCUUGUGGUC